AGUGAACGCUGGCGGCGUGCUUAACACAUGCAAGUCGAACGAGAACGGAAUAUAGCUUGCUAUAUUUGUCAGCUAAGUGGCGCACGGGUGAGUAAUGUAUAGAUAACCUGCCCUUAAGAAAGAAAUAACAGUUGGAAACGACUGCUAAUGCCCUAUAUGCCUUUAAUACAUAAGUAUGCAAGGGAAACGCUUUAGUGCUUAAGGAUGGGUCUGUAUGGUAUCAGCUUGUUGGUGAGGUAAUGGCUCACCAAGGCUAUGACGCCUAACUGGUUUGAGAGGAUGAUCAGUCACACUGGAACUGAGACACGGUCCAGACUCCUACGGGAGUCAGCAGUGGGGAAUAUUGCACAAUGGACGAAAGUCUGAUGCAGCAACGCCGCGUGGAGGAUGACACAUUUCGGUGCGCAAACUCCUUUUAUAUAGGAAGAUAAUGACGGUACUAUAUGAAUAAGCACCGGCUAACUCCGUGCCAGCCGCCGCCGUAA
This 485-nucleotide ribosomal RNA is filed under the name uncultured bacterium. RNAcentral describes it as "partial 16S ribosomal RNA". It matches the Rfam family "Bacterial small subunit ribosomal RNA", at positions 29 to 523 of the family's 1533-position model. The record is from RNAcentral.